GGAUAGAUGGCCGAGUGGUCUAAGGCGCACGAUUGGAAAUCGUGUAUACCUCUAAAGGGUAUCCAGGGUUCGAAUCCCUGUCUAUCCGCCA
This 91-nucleotide transfer RNA is filed under the name Alphaproteobacteria bacterium. Its description in RNAcentral is "tRNA-Ser". It matches the Rfam family "tRNA". Rfam says of the family: Transfer RNA (tRNA) molecules are approximately 80 nucleotides in length. The record is from RNAcentral. Lineage: Bacteria; Pseudomonadati; Pseudomonadota; Alphaproteobacteria.